RNAcentral lists this ribosomal RNA (457 nucleotides) under uncultured Methylophilaceae bacterium. Its description in RNAcentral is "bacterial SSU rRNA". It matches the Rfam family "Bacterial small subunit ribosomal RNA", at positions 346 to 795 of the family's 1533-position model. The record is from RNAcentral. Lineage: Bacteria; Pseudomonadati; Pseudomonadota; Betaproteobacteria; Nitrosomonadales; Methylophilaceae.
UGGCUGCAGUGGGGAAUUUUGGACAAUGGGCGAAAGCCUGAUCCAGCCAUUCCGCGUGAGUGAAGAAGGCCUUCGGGUUGUAAAGCUCUUUCGCAAGAGAAGAAAACUUACCCUCUAACAUAGGGUGAGGUUGACGGUAUCUUGAUAAGAAGCACCGGCUAACUACGUGCCAGCAGCCGCGGUAAUACGUAGGGUGCGAGCGUUAAUCGGAAUUACUGGGCGUAAAGCGUGCGCAGGCUGUUUUGUAAGUCAGAUGUGAAAUCCCCGAGCUCAACUUGGGAACUGCGUUUGAAACUACAAGACUAGAAUAGGUCAGAGGGGGGUAGAAUUCCACGUGUAGCAGUGAAAUGCGUAGAGAUGUGGAGGAAUAUCAAUGGCGAAGGCAGCCCCCUGGGAUCAUAUUGACGCUCAUGCACGAAAGCGUGGGGAGCAAACAGGAUUAGAUACCCUAGUAGUC